AUCGGCCAACGGCAAGGGUGGGUGCGCCCGCGUAUGCUGCGCCGAGGGAGAUUGCGCCACACCAACAGCGUCUUCGACGGAAAGGUGAAACAUCAAGAUUACUGGGUAGAGGCUGGUAGGUUCCUUUUGGUUCUCGACUGUCUUGGA
RNAcentral lists this small RNA (147 nucleotides) under bovine gut metagenome. Its description in RNAcentral is "RT-3 RNA". It matches the Rfam family "RT-3 RNA". The record is from RNAcentral.